This 443-nucleotide ribosomal RNA is filed under the name uncultured bacterium. RNAcentral's name for it is "bacterial SSU rRNA". It matches the Rfam family "Bacterial small subunit ribosomal RNA", at positions 29 to 517 of the family's 1533-position model. The record is from RNAcentral.
AACGAACGCUGGCGGCAGGCCUAACACAUGCAAGUCGAGCGAACCCUUCGGGGUUAGCGGCGGACGGGUUAGUAACGCGUGGGAAUAUACCCUUUGGUACGGAAUAGCCUCGGGAAACUGAGAGUAAUACCGUAUGUGCCCUUCGGGGAAAGGAUUUAUCGCCAAAGGAUUAGCCCGCGUUGGAUUAGAUAGUUGGUGGGGUAAUGGCCUACCGAGUCUACGAUCCAUAGCUGGUUUGAGAGGAUGAUCAGCAACACUGGGACUGAGACACGGCCCAGACUCCUACGGGAGGCAGCAGUGGGGAAUCUUAGACAAUGGGCGCAAGCCUGAUCUAGCCAUGCCGCGUGGACGAUGAAGGCCUUAGGGUUGUAAAGUCCUUUCAGAUGGGAAGAUAAUGACGGUACCAUCAGAAGAAGCCCCGGCUAACUCCGUGCCAGCAGCCG